UAUGCAUGAGGUAAGAGAAGUAUUUUCUCAAUCAUUGGCUCUUGGGGAGAUUUCCAAAAUCAUCUGGAACAGAGCUGAGUGUGAAUGCACAGAAGACACAAUGGGAAGGAAGGAAAGGAAGGAAGGGAAGGAAAGAAAGGAAGGAAGGAAGGGAAGGAAAGAAAGGAAGGGAGGAAGGAAGGGAAGGAAAGAAAGGAAGGGAGGAAGGCUUGUUUUAUGAACAAUCACGUCACUGGAUCCACACAAUCUCAAACGUUCUGCAGUCUGCAUUGUCACUGUGACCACGCGGGCCUAGUUGGCCACAUUCCAUGUACACAUCAGUUACCAGGCAGUGCUACCAAGUAGCAUUUUUCCCCUACUACCCAGAAGUGUUCAGGUUUUUAAGCUUUCCUUUUCACUGCUCAGAUUCCCAGAAAUUUACCACCAAACUGUAUCACAAGCACUAAGUUUUCAAGUUAUUGUUUGAAUAGAUUAGAAAGCAUCAAAAAUUAAGUCAUGUACUAUGUGUUUUUAUGUGGAAAUUCAGAAAGCUACAAGAUCCCAAGACUGACUCUGUAGGGAAACCACAGAAUCUCCUCAUAGGGCAGAUGAGCAAAGUGAAUGCCAACAAGCUGUAAAACAAGAUUACGCAGAGCCAUCUGUUCAGACACUGAGCCUGUUGAGAAGUCUCAUCCCACACAGACUGCUGGUCUGACAGGGGCCAGAAUCUACUCGUAACAGUUUCAGGUUCGGUUGGAAACGCACGCAGAGACAUCCGGCAGACUCCCGCAAACUCUCAGAAGGAGAGGGCGGAUGGCUGCACAUCACCAGCCCAGCCCGGCCUCGCCACAACAUGGAGCCGUUCAAACUCACUAGCCUUGUAAAUAGACGGCGUCUUUCUUCAGCUCAGCCUUCCUUCCGCGGCAGCCGGGCGGUCGGGAGCUGAGCUGUCCCUCCCUUCGGGGGCCAAGGAACCCUUUUAA
This is a long non-coding RNA of Ficedula albicollis (Collared flycatcher), 962 nucleotides long. RefSeq lists it as uncharacterized. The record is from RefSeq and is a predicted model, not a curated record. Lineage: Eukaryota; Metazoa; Chordata; Aves; Passeriformes; Muscicapidae. The transcript has 3 exons.